RNAcentral lists this ribosomal RNA (783 nucleotides) under uncultured bacterium. RNAcentral describes it as "bacterial SSU rRNA". It matches the Rfam family "Bacterial small subunit ribosomal RNA", at positions 62 to 853 of the family's 1533-position model. The record is from RNAcentral.
CCUUGUGUGAAUCCUUCGGGAGGAACUUUAGGGUGGAAAGUGGCGGACGGGCGAGUAACGCGUGAGUAACCUGCCCAUAAGAGGGGGAUAAUCCCUGGAAACGGGGACUAAUACCGCAUAUUGAAAUUUUAUGGCAUCAUAGAAUUUUGAAAGAUUUAUCGCUUAUGGAUGGACUCGCGUAAGAUUAGCUAGUUGGUGAGGUAACGGCUCACCAAGGCGACGAUCUUUAGCCGAACUGAGAGGUUGAUCGGCCGCAUUGGGACUGAGACACGGCCCAGACUCCUACGGGAGGCAGCAGUGGGGAAUAUUGCGCAAUGGGGGCAACCCUGACGCAGCAACGCCGCGUGCAGGAAGAAGGUCUUCGGAUUGUAAACUGUUGUCGCAAGGGAAGAAGACAGUGACGGUACCUUGUGAGAAAGUCACGGCUAACUACGUGCCAGCAGCCGCGGUAAUACGUAGGUGACAAGCGUUGUCCGGAUUUACUGGGUGUAAAGGGCGCGUAGGCGGACUGUCAAGUCAGUCGUGAAAUACCGAAGCUUAACUUCGGGGCUGCGAUUGAAACUGACAGCCUUGAGUAUCGGAGAGGAAAGCGGAAUUCCUAGUGUAGCGGUGAAAUGCGUAGAUAUUAGGAGGAACACCAGUGGCGAAGGCGGCUUUCUGGACGACAACUGACGCUGAGGCGCGAAAGUGUGGGGAGCAAACAGGAUUAGAUACCCUGGUAGUCCACACCGUANACGAUGGAUACUAGGUGUAGGAGGUAUCGACCNCUUCUGUGCCGCAGUU